Molecule: long non-coding RNA, 1667 nt
Organism: Mustela erminea (ermine)
Lineage: Eukaryota; Metazoa; Chordata; Mammalia; Carnivora; Mustelidae
Exons: 3
Source: RefSeq, a predicted model, not a curated record
GCUGGAGACCCAGGCUGCGGGCGCGCGGCGAAGUUCCCAACUCCCGCGCUAGGCGCGCCGGCUCGCGGGGGGAGGGAGUCCCGUGGCGGGAUUUGGGGGGAGGAAGUCCCGUUUCGUGAGUGUUUCUUCGUUUCUUUAAGAGCUACCAGAAAGCAGCCCACCCCCACCCCAUAAAAAAAAAAAAUAAGCGAGUGGGGAAGAGCCAGCCCCACGCCGGUCCGCCUCCUACCCGCGGCCCGGCCUCCCUCCCGCUCGCCGCCUGGCUCGGCGCUCCUUCGCCCCGAGUUCUCCAUCCCCUGGAUCGCGGGCUCGCGGGGGCGCGGAGAAGAGGACCGAGGAAAGGACCCUCUGGAAGCCACUGGAUCUUUGAGGAAAUGGUGGUCCAUAGAGCCAGACACAUGGAUACAGCAGAGUCCCUCCCAUCAAGAAGAUGACAGAGUGGCCAGGGAGACAGGCGUGCACACAGCCUAGAAGGCUUCCUCGGGGACUCCUGAGGACUUCAGCUGGCACUUUCACCAUACCUCACGGCAGCUGCCUACCUGUGGGCUUCUGUGGAGUUUCUGUCAUGCUCCGGACCUGGCACUGCAUAGUGGCGGCAGGCACUCUGUGGAUUUCCAACUAGACAGCCUUAUUCAUUUUCACGGUGAUUACCAGUGAUGGUACUCGGUCAAAGCAGGCGGAACCGACCAAGAUGCUGCGGAUUCGAGGGAUGGGUACCUUUCUAUUGAGUUUCCACAUUGAAGCCCUCAUGUUCCCCUCAGAUUGGUCCAUUCCUGAGCGGGCAUUAGACACGCUUUUGUAACUGAUGUCAGAACUGGCCAGGAGUGAGAAGUAGGGCCUAACCCCUGAUUUCCCACGGGGAUCUGGAAUCAGCACAGCUAAUAGGAGAAGAAGGGCCAAACGACAAAGAACUACCAACAGCCAUGUGGAGAAACCAUCUGAGCCACAGCGUGAGCAGGGUGAGAAGGUUUCCGUCUUUCAGACUGGAUGCUGGUCUACCUUGCGCAGAAUGGCGGCCCCGUGGAGAUGGCCCCAGGGCAGAAAAACAGGUUCUCCACAGCCAAAGUGCUCCUCCGUGUGGGAGCCAGGGAGGCAGGGAUAGCAUGAUCCCAGGCUCUGUGCCCAAGCGUGACACAGUAUUUUCAAAGGUUUGGUUGAAUGAAUCAAGGUCGAGGUGAGGCUAUGAAUAAACCCUUUUCCUAUUCCAGAUAGAUUUUCUCUCAUUUAUUUUGUUUUUCAAUCACGUAUUUGCUUGUUUAUUUAUUUUUAGGGAUGUUAUAAGAUUUUUAGCAGAAUGAAUUCAAACCUUGAAGGAUGAUGAUUUCUCGUCUAAGGAAAGGUCCUCAAUUUCUAAGUUAGGGGCUUUCCAGCUUCUUAAAAUACGACCCACUCUCUUUUUUUUUUUUCUUUAAUAUGGCCCACUCUUAAAAAAAAAAUACAUUUUAUAUCAGGAUCUAGUACCUACAAACAUACUGAAACAAGAGUUUCAAAAAACAAAACUUGCCCAUUAUAUAGGUGGUCCAUUCUUCACACAGUGCUCUCUGAGCAUGGUCUUGAACCAGCAACGUGGGCAUCAUUUGGGAACUAGUUGGGGAUGUAGAAUCUCAGGCCACAACCUAGAUAUGCGUAAUCAGGAGUUCCUGGGAGCACCUGGCUGGUGCAAUGGU